AGUGAACGCUGGCGGUAGGCCUAACACAUGCAAGUCGAACGGCAGCACAGUAAGAGCUUGCUCUUACGGGUGGCGAGUGGCGGACGGGUGAGGCAUACAUCGGAAUCUACUUUUUCGUGGGGGAUAACGUAGGGAAACUUACGCUAAUACCGCAUACGACCUACGGGUGAAAGCAGGGGAUCUUCGGACCUUGCGCGAUUGAAUGAGCCGAUGUCGGAUUAGCUAGUUGGCGGGGUAAAGGCCCCCCAGGGCGACGAUCCGUAGCGAGUCUGAGAGGAUGAUCGCCCACACGGAAACGGAGAAACGUUCCAGACUCCAAGGGGAGCAAGCAGUGGGGAAUUUUGGACAAGGGGCGCAAGCCUGAGCCAGCCAGACCGCGUGGGUGAAGAAGGCCUUCGAGUUGUAAAGCCCUUUUGUUGGGAAAGAAAAGCGGGAGGUUAAUACCCCGCUGUUCGGACGGUACCCAUAGGAUAAGCACCGCCUAACUUCGU
This 491-nucleotide ribosomal RNA is filed under the name uncultured bacterium. RNAcentral's name for it is "partial 16S ribosomal RNA". It matches the Rfam family "Bacterial small subunit ribosomal RNA", at positions 29 to 506 of the family's 1533-position model. The record is from RNAcentral.